CAACUUUCAACACCGGAUCUCUUGGCUCUCGCAUCGAUGAAGAACGCAGCGAAAUGCGAUACGUAAUGUGAAUUGCAGAAUUCAGUGAAUCAUCGAAUCUUUGAACGCAUAUUGCGCUCUUUGGUAUUCCGAAGAGCAUGCUUGUUUGAGUAUCAGUA
RNAcentral lists this ribosomal RNA (158 nucleotides) under Linnemannia hyalina. RNAcentral's name for it is "Mortierella hyalina 5.8S ribosomal RNA". It matches the Rfam family "5.8S ribosomal RNA". Rfam says of the family: 5.8S ribosomal RNA (5.8S rRNA) is a component of the large subunit of the eukaryotic ribosome. It is transcribed by RNA polymerase I as part of the 45S precursor that also contains 18S and 28S rRNA. Lineage: Eukaryota; Fungi; Mortierellomycota; Mortierellomycetes; Mortierellales; Mortierellaceae. The record is from RNAcentral.